RNAcentral lists this unclassified non-coding RNA (1831 nucleotides) under Hevea brasiliensis (rubber tree). The record is from RNAcentral. Lineage: Eukaryota; Viridiplantae; Streptophyta; Magnoliopsida; Malpighiales; Euphorbiaceae.
UAAUUUUCUUCUAUUCAUUCCUCCAUUUAACUCAAUUUGACGUUAUGCCCAUUCAUGCAGGACAGAGAAUGAAGGUAAAAAUAAUAGAGGAAAGAAAUGAUUGAUAAUUUGUUAAAAAAAACUCCAAUAAACUAGAAAGUAGCUUUGUUUUAACGACUGAAUUGAAACUAAUAAACGGGACAUCCAUCAACAACAAUACCUUUGGCAGUUGGGCAUGAAGCCAGGGGACAAUUCUCACCCUCACUACCCCACCAGGAUACGGAUAUGUCCUCCAUCGUCAAAGUGAAGUAUAGAAGAACCCCCAUGAAAGCCAAACCUGCAUCCAAAGCUGCUGAAAGGAUAUAAUUAUACCUCUGCCACCACUUCUUGUGGUACUUAAAGAUGAAGUAGUUGAAAAUUAUUCCAAUCACAAUCCAGCAAUUGAAGUUCACAGUUGUAGCUGGUGGCAUUAUAGCUGUUGCUCCCAAGAGUACAGGAAGAUUAAUCAGGGCAAUCCAUUUCUGCUUGGGAAAAGCUUUGUGCAAAAGCCAUACGAUGACAGGUCCUGUUGCACCUCCAAGGAAAAACCAAUUGAGUACCGAAUAGUUUCCAAGACUGCCAAAGAUUCGCUUAGGUCCAACCAAACCCCAGAUGACAGAUGCAUCAUAGAAAACACGGUCUCCGGGACAUGUCCAGGGACUGUUUGGAGGGAGUAAAUUAUCCUGACAUAUGUUUUCAACCGUGGUCAGCAGCCACCAUGCCACCGCAGUGUUCACUGUUCCUGAUAUUACAGUGCCUAUGGACUGCACUAAAAACAUUGAUCUUGGUGGAAUCUUCAUGUAGUGCCCUAGCUUAAAAUCAGCGAGAAAGGAAACUGCCUGACUCAUGCUUAUAUAGCCAUAGGUUUUGAAGCAAACGUUGGCUAUCGGUCUGCCAGGUAAUAUAACACCCAUGAGGUACUCUGUGAUGAUGUUUAGUCCUGGUGACUGAUUCGUUGUGGCAGUUAUAAUGCUAAUUGGAAGCGUGAAAGUCAAAGCAAUUCCUACUGCAAAAAUGAGUCCCCACCAUGGCAUUUGUAUCUGAUCUUUCAUGAAAAUGCAUAAAUAUAGAGACAGUGCUAAUGAAAACACAAGCAUCAGGUAAAACCACCAAUUAGGUAUGCCGUUAUAUUUUUUCAUUAAUCUUGUGUGUAUAUCUUCCUUUCCUUCAUAUGAAGCUCGGAACUGUUGAAGUAUCUCCUUUCCAUUAAACAAAGCUACAUGCAUCAGGGUGGAAACAAUUGCAGCAAAACCAAUUCCAUAUGUAAUUGCAAAGAAGGAACUCAGGUACAGAUGCCCUUGCUUCUGAUAUGUUGGAAGGUCUAUCUCAAACUUAUUGUUGACAAUGGCAGAUACAUUAUAUAACUCUCCUUGGUGAUUGAAUAAAUGUGAGGAGACAAUUGGGAACUUCUUUGCGUCGUAUGUAUUAAAGCCCCAAUAAGCUAUUGGCAUUAUCACAUAUAUCAUUGCAAUAUAGCCCACAAUGAUAUUGACAAUGGCAAAGAAUGGAGUGAUAAGGGGGCUGCCUAGGUAUGAAGCUAUGACAGACCAGUCAAUUGCAAAAGCUCCAAGACCGAGGCCCUUCAUGCCUGAGCCAAUCUGCUGGGCUGUCACUGACUUGGGGAAUACCCAACAGACCCAUGAAAUGGUUGACAAAGUUGGGAAAAGGUAUCCAGGAAACGAGUACCAGGAGAAGCUGCAGAUCAGCGCAAUCAAGAAGAAUUUACCUCGCGACAUUCGAUUGCUGUCUUUUUCGUGCAGAGCCCUGGCAUGAGUAAAUGAUUACGGUAGGCAAUUGGGCAGCUUCUAAUUUG